GACGAACGCUGGCGGCGUGCUUAACACAUGCAAGUCGAACGGAAAGGCCCUGCUUUUGUGGGGUGCUCGAGUGGCGAACGGGUGAGUAACACGUGAGUAACCUGCCCUUGACUUUGGGAUAACUUCAGGAAACUGGGGCUAAUACCCGAUAGGAGCUCCUGCUGCAUGGUGGGGGUUGGAAAGUUUCGGCGGUUGGGGAUGGACUCGCGGCUUAUCAGCUUGAUGGUGGGGUAGUGGCUUACCAAGGCUUUGACGGGUAGCCGGCCUGAGAGGGUGACCGGCCACAUUGGGACUGAGAUACGGCCCAGACUCCUACGGGAGGCAGCAGUGGGGAAUAUUGCACAAUGGGCGGAAGCCUGAUGCAGCAACGCCGCGUGCGGGAUGACGGCCUUCGGGUUGUAAACCGCUUUCGCCUGUGACGAAGCGUGAGUGACGGUAAUGGGUAAAGAAGCACCGGCUAACUACGUG
Molecule: ribosomal RNA, 468 nt
Filed under: uncultured bacterium
Lineage: Bacteria
Description: partial 16S ribosomal RNA
Rfam family: Bacterial small subunit ribosomal RNA
Source: RNAcentral